This 750-nucleotide ribosomal RNA is filed under the name Triticum aestivum (bread wheat). RNAcentral's name for it is "partial small subunit ribosomal RNA". Lineage: Eukaryota; Viridiplantae; Streptophyta; Magnoliopsida; Poales; Poaceae. The record is from RNAcentral.
AUGGCCCGCUACGACCGCGCGAUCACCGUCUUCUCCCCCGACGGCCACCUCUUCCAGGUCGAGUACGCCCUCGAGGCCGUCCGCAAGGGCAACGCUGCCGUCGGCGUCCGCGGCACCGACACCGUCGUCCUCGGCGUCGAGAAGAAGUCCACCCCCAAGCUCCAGGACUCCAGGUCCGUGCGGAAGAUCGCGAGCCUGGACACGCACGUCGCGCUGGCGUGCGCGGGGCUCAAGGCGGACGCGCGGGUGCUCAUCAACCGCGCCCGCGUCGAGUGCCAGAGCCACCGCCUCACCGUCGAGGACCCCGUCACCGUCGAGUACAUCACUCGCUACAUCGCCGGCCUGCAGCAGAAGUACACCCAGAGCGGUGGAGUCCGCCCCUUCGGCCUAUCCACCCUCAUCGUCGGCUUCGAUCCGUACACGGACAAGCCCGCCCUGUACCAGACCGACCCCUCCGGCACCUUCUCCGCCUGGAAGGCCAACGCCACGGGGAGGAACUCCAACUCCAUGCGGGAGUUCCUGGAGAAGAACUACAAGGACACCUCCGGCAAGGAGACCAUCAAGCUCACCAUCCGCGCUCUGCUAGAGGUUGUCGAGAGUGGUGGGAAGAACAUAGAGAUUGCAGUGAUGACAAAGAAGGAUGGCCUUCGGCAACUCGAGGAGACUGAAAUCGAUGAAUAUGUUGCCGAGAUCGAGGCAGAGAAGGCCGCGGCAGAGGCGGCAAAGAAGAGUGGCCCGAAGGAUACCUAA